RNAcentral lists this ribosomal RNA (241 nucleotides) under uncultured Staphylococcus sp. RNAcentral describes it as "partial 16S ribosomal RNA". It matches the Rfam family "Bacterial small subunit ribosomal RNA", at positions 99 to 334 of the family's 1533-position model. Lineage: Bacteria; Bacillati; Bacillota; Bacilli; Caryophanales; Staphylococcaceae. The record is from RNAcentral.
CGGACGGGUGAGUAACACGUGGAUAACCUACCUAUAAGACUGGGAUAACUUCGGGAAACCUGAGCUAAUACCGGAUAAUAUAUUGAACCGCAUGGUUCAAUAGUGAAAGACGGUUUUGCUGUCACUUAUAGAUGGAUCCGCGCCGCAUUAGCUAGUUGGUAAGGUAACGGCUUACCAAGGCAACGAUGCGUAGCCGGCCUGAGAGGGUGAUCGGCCACACUGGAACUGAGACACGGUCCAG